RNAcentral lists this ribosomal RNA (729 nucleotides) under Bacillus cereus. RNAcentral describes it as "bacterial SSU rRNA". It matches the Rfam family "Bacterial small subunit ribosomal RNA", at positions 48 to 757 of the family's 1533-position model. Lineage: Bacteria; Bacillati; Bacillota; Bacilli; Caryophanales; Bacillaceae. The record is from RNAcentral.
CUAAUACAUGCAAGUCGAGCGAAUGGAUUAAGAGCUUGCUCUUAUGAAGUUAGCGGCGGACGGGUGAGUAACACGUGGGUAACCUGCCCAUAAGACUGGGAUAACUCCGGGAAACCGGGGCUAAUACCGGAUAACAUUUUGAACCGCAUGGUUCGAAAUUGAAAGGCGGCUUCGGCUGUCACUUAUGGAUGGACCCGCGUCGCAUUAGCUAGUUGGUGAGGUAACGGCUCACCAAGGCAACGAUGCGUAGCCGACCUGAGAGGGUGAUCGGCCACACUGGGACUGAGACACGGCCCAGACUCCUACGGGAGGCAGCAGUAGGGAAUCUUCCGCAAUGGACGAAAGUCUGACGGAGCAACGCCGCGUGAGUGAUGAAGGCUUUCGGGUCGUAAAACUCUGUUGUUAGGGAAGAACAAGUGCUAGUUGAAUAAGCUGGCACCUUGACGGUACCUAACCAGAAAGCCACGGCUAACUACGUGCCAGCAGCCGCGGUAAUACGUAGGUGGCAAGCGUUAUCCGGAAUUAUUGGGCGUAAAGCGCGCGCAGGUGGUUUCUUAAGUCUGAUGUGAAAGCCCACGGCUCAACCGUGGAGGGUCAUUGGAAACUGGGAGACUUGAGUGCAGAAGAGGAAAGUGGAAUUCCAUGUGUAGCGGUGAAAUGCGUAGAGAUAUGGAGGAACACCAGUGGCGAAGGCGACUUUCUGGUCUGUAACUGACACUGAGGCGCGAA